Molecule: ribosomal RNA, 500 nt
Filed under: uncultured bacterium
Lineage: Bacteria
Description: bacterial SSU rRNA
Rfam family: Bacterial small subunit ribosomal RNA
Source: RNAcentral
GAUGAACGCUGGCGGCGUGCUUAACACAUGCAAGUCGAACGAUUAACCCAUCUUCGGAUGGUCAUAAAGUGGCGAACGGGUGAGUAACACGUGACCAACCUGCCUUCCACAUUGGGAUAACUUAGAGAAAUCUAAGCUAAUACCAAAUACUCUUGGAACUUCGCAUGAAGAUCCAAGGAAAGCUUUUGCGGUGGAAGAUGGGGUCGCGGCCCAUUAGGUAGUUGGUGGGGUAGUGGCCUACCAAGCCGACGAUGGGUAGCCGGGUUGAGAGACCGACCGGCCACAUUGGGACUGAGAUACGGCCCAGACUCCUACGGGAGGCAGCAGUGGGGAAUUUUGCGCAAUGGGCGAAAGCCUGACGCAGCAACGCCGCGUGCGGGAUGACGGCCUUCGGGUUGUAAACCGCUUUCAGUGGGAAAGACAAUGACGGUACCCACACAAGAAGCUCCGGCUAAAUACGUGCCAGCAGCCGCGGUAAUACGUAUGGAGCAAGCGUUAUC